CCUGGCGGCACUAGCGCGGUGGUCCCACCUGACCCCAUGCCGAACUCAGAAGUGAAACGCCGUAGCGCCGAUGGUAGUGUGGGGUCUCCCCAUGUGAGAGUAGGGAACUGCCAGGA
RNAcentral lists this ribosomal RNA (116 nucleotides) under Klebsiella pneumoniae. The record is from RNAcentral. Lineage: Bacteria; Pseudomonadati; Pseudomonadota; Gammaproteobacteria; Enterobacterales; Enterobacteriaceae. RNAcentral also lists the same sequence under 3 other names.